RNAcentral lists this ribosomal RNA (434 nucleotides) under uncultured bacterium. Its description in RNAcentral is "bacterial SSU rRNA". It matches the Rfam family "Bacterial small subunit ribosomal RNA", at positions 30 to 410 of the family's 1533-position model. The record is from RNAcentral.
AUUGAACGCUGGCGGCAUGCCUUACACAUGCAAGUCGAACGUGAAAGCGGGGCAACCCGCAAGUAGAGUGGCGGACGGGUGAGUAAUACAUCGGAACGUGUCCAGUAAUGGGGGAUAACCUAGCGAAAGUUAGGCUAAUACCGCAUACGAUCUGCGGAUGAAAGCGGGGGAUGCGGCACUAAAGGCUUUUGGCGAAGGUGGCCAAAGGUGAGUCAAGAGCUUUUAGUGCNGCACCUCGCGUUAUUGGAGCGGCUGAUGUCUGAUUAGCUAGUUGGUGAGGUAAAGGCUUACCAAGGCGACGAUCAGUAGCUGGUCUGAGAGGACGGCCAGCCACACUGGGACUGAGACACGGCCCAGACUCCUACGGGAGGCAGCAGUGGGGAAUUUUGGACAAGUGGGGGCAACCCUGAUCCAGCCAUGCCGCGUGAGUGAAG